Molecule: transfer-messenger RNA, 379 nt
Filed under: Saprospiraceae
Lineage: Bacteria; Pseudomonadati; Bacteroidota; Saprospiria; Saprospirales
Also listed under: 1 other name
Description: Flavilitoribacter sp020436695 Standard tmRNA
Rfam family: transfer-messenger RNA
About the family: Bacterial tmRNA, also known as 10Sa RNA or SsrA, is named for its dual tRNA and mRNA-like properties.
Source: RNAcentral
GGGGCCGUACCGGAAUCGACAGGAAUGUCUACUGGUAAGUAAGCAUGUCGGAGCAUAGUAGCUUACCUCCGUUAACAACUGGCUAUUAACAACUUUUACAUGGCAACAGACAGUUCGCCAUGGCUGCCUAAGACUAGGUCUUAGAAAGCCUUUGCGCCCCACGCUUGACGCCUGAUACACAGUGUGCCGCGCAUCAACCAACCCUCGGGCUAGUGUACUGACCCGUCCCGAUCAGUACGCGAAAUUAAGGGAAUAAGGCGAUAGUACGGGAGGGUUUCCAAUCCCAUCGAUCGCUCGAAAAUCCAACUGGGAACUACACAUGUAGAAAGCUUAUGAGUGCUUUCUCUGGACGCGGGUUCGACUCCCGCCGGCUCCACAA